UUGGAAACGGUGGCUAAUACCGAAUGUGCCGAGAGGUGAAAGGCUUGCUGCCUGAAGAAGAGCUUGCGUCUGAUUAGCUAGUUGGUGGGGUAAGAGCCUACCAAGGCGACGAUCAGUAGCUGGUCUGAGAGGAUGAUCAGCCACACUGGGACUGAGACACGGCCCAGACUCCUACGGGAGGCAGCAGUGGGGAAUUUUCCGCAAUGGGCGAAAGCCUGACGGAGCAAUACCGCGUGAGGGAGGAAGGCUCUUGGGUUGUAAACCUCUUUUCUCAGGGAAGAAAAAAAUGACGGUACCUGAGGAAUAAGCAUCGGCUAACUCCGUGCCAGCAGCCGCGGUAAUACGGAGGAUGCAAGCGUUAUCCGGAAUGAUUGGGCGUAAAGGGUCCGCAGGUGGUAGUGUAAGUCUGCUGUUAAAGAGUCACGCUCAACGUGAUCAAAGCAGUGGAAACUACACAACUAGAGUACGGUAGGGGCAGAAGGAAUUCCUGGUGUAGCGGUGAAAUGCGUAGAUAUCAGGAAGAACACCGGUGGCGAAAGCGUUCUGCUAGACCUGUACUGACACUGAGGGACGAAAGCUAGGGGAGCGAAUGGGAUUAGAUACCCCAGUAGUC
RNAcentral lists this ribosomal RNA (613 nucleotides) under uncultured cyanobacterium. RNAcentral describes it as "bacterial SSU rRNA". It matches the Rfam family "Bacterial small subunit ribosomal RNA", at positions 150 to 795 of the family's 1533-position model. Lineage: Bacteria; Bacillati; Cyanobacteriota. The record is from RNAcentral.